AGAAUGUUAUCACGGGAGACACACGGCGGGUGCUAACGUCCGUCGUGAAGAGGGAAACAACCCAGACCGCCAGCUAAGGUCCCAAAGUCAUGGUUAAGUGGGAAACGAUGUGGGAAGGCCCAGACAGCCAGGAUGUUGGCUUAGAAGCAGCCAUCAUUUAAAGAAAGCGUAAUAGCUCACUGGUCGAGUCGGCCUGCGCGGAAGAUGUAACGGGGCUAAACCAUGCACCGAAGCUGCGGCAGCGACACUCAGGUGUUGUUGGGUAGGGGAGCGUUCUGUAAGCCUGCGAAGGUGGCCUGUGAGGGUUGCUGGAGGUAUCAGAAGUGCGAAUGCUGACAUAAGUAACGAUAAAGCGGGUGAAAAGCCCGCUCGCCGGAAGACCAAGGGUUCCUGUCCAACGUUAAUCGGGGCAGGGUGAGUCGACCCCUAAGGCGAGGCCGAAAGGCGUAGUCGAUGGGAAACGGGUUAAUAUUCCCGUACUUGGUGUUACUGCGAAGGGGGGACGG
This 506-nucleotide ribosomal RNA is filed under the name Salmonella enterica. RNAcentral describes it as "partial 23S ribosomal RNA". It matches the Rfam family "Bacterial large subunit ribosomal RNA", at positions 966 to 1475 of the family's 2925-position model. Lineage: Bacteria; Pseudomonadati; Pseudomonadota; Gammaproteobacteria; Enterobacterales; Enterobacteriaceae. RNAcentral also lists the same sequence under 1 other name. The record is from RNAcentral.